GACGAACGCUGGCGGCGUGCCUAACACAUGCAAGUCGAACGGGGUUGAGCCCUUCGGGACUCAACUUAGUGGCGAACGGGUGAGUAACGCGUGAGAAACCUGCCUUUCAGUGGGGGACAACAGUUGGAAACGACUGCUAAUACCGCAUAAUGUAUUUUGGGGGCAUCCCUUUAAUACCAAAGCUUUAUGUGCUGAAAGAUGGUCUCGCGUCUGAUUAGCUAGAUGGCGGGGUAACGGCCCACCAUGGCGACGAUCAGUAGCCGGUCUGAGAGGAUGAACGGCCACAUUGGGACUGAGAUACGGCCCAGACUCCUACGGGAGGCAGCAGUGGGGAAUAUUGGGCAAUGGGGGAAACCCUGACCCAGCAACGCCGCGUGAAGGAAGAAGGCCUUCGGGUUGUAAACUUCUUUUAGUAGGGACGAAGAACGUGACGGUACCUACAGAAAAAGCAACGGCUAACUACGUG
This 466-nucleotide ribosomal RNA is filed under the name uncultured bacterium. Its description in RNAcentral is "bacterial SSU rRNA". It matches the Rfam family "Bacterial small subunit ribosomal RNA", at positions 28 to 507 of the family's 1533-position model. The record is from RNAcentral.